GGGACGAUUGUUUGGCACGCGGCUGGCGCCGCGCAGGUCGUAUCGGCCCCUUCCUUUCGACAUCUCUGUGCCAUCCAAAAUUGGUAUUUAUCAACUUGCUGUCCUUCACAGUCAGGACGCGGCAAGUUGUUACCCUCGGUGAAUCUAGAAGGUCCCUUGAAGUUUCUGUGAUAGCUGAUUUAGUGAUUUUCGGGGCGCGUAAGAGAGGUGCGAUUUCUAGCACUCGGAACAAGUCGCUUGAAAACAGAAAUCGGGGCUUCGACCGAGUCCUAGUCUCACCACUGACAAGUACUUUUGCUACCGUGUAUCAUACUCCUAAACCUCAUUUCAAGAUGGCAGUGGCAUCGGUGUGGGGCUCUAUCAAACAGGCAGAGACCAGUCUGCAGGAUGUCAUGUCAGAGCAGAUGGCUGUAGAUUUACAAAACAAGGAAAAUGCACUGGCUGGCUUGGCUGCAGUGCCAGCUGUCCACCCCAA
Long non-coding RNA from Pollicipes pollicipes, 475 nucleotides. RefSeq lists it as uncharacterized. The record is from RefSeq and is a predicted model, not a curated record. The transcript is spliced from 3 exons. Lineage: Eukaryota; Metazoa; Arthropoda; Thecostraca; Pollicipedomorpha; Pollicipedidae.